RNAcentral lists this ribosomal RNA (653 nucleotides) under uncultured bacterium. RNAcentral describes it as "bacterial SSU rRNA". It matches the Rfam family "Bacterial small subunit ribosomal RNA", at positions 61 to 705 of the family's 1533-position model. The record is from RNAcentral.
GUCGAGCGGUAGCACAGGGAGCUUGCUCCUGGGUGACGAGCGGCGGACGGGUGAGUAAUGUCUGGGAAACUGCCUGAUGGAGGGGGAUAACUACUGGAAACGGUAGCUAAUACCGCAUAACGUCUACGGACCAAAGUGGGGGACCUUCGGGCCUCAUGCCAUCAGAUGUGCCCAGAUGGGAUUAGCUAGUAGGUGGGGUAAUGGCUCACCUAGGCGACGAUCCCUAGCUGGUCUGAGAGGAUGACCAGCCACACUGGAACUGAGACACGGUCCAGACUCCUACGGGAGGCAGCAGUGGGGAAUAUUGCACAAUGGGCGCAAGCCUGAUGCAGCCAUGCCGCGUGUGUGAAGAAGGCCUUCGGGUUGUAAAGCACUUUCAGCGAGGAGGAAGGGUUCAGUGUUAAUAGCACUGUNCAUUGACGUUACUCGCAGAAGAAGCACCGGCUAACUCCGUGCCAGCAGCCGCGGUAAUACGGAGGGUGCAAGCGUUAAUCGGAAUUACUGGGCGUAAAGCGCACGCAGGCGGUUUGUUAAGUCAGAUGUGAAAUCCCCGCGCUUAACGUGGGAACUGCAUUUGAAACUGGCAAGCUAGAGUCUUGUAGAGGGGGGUAGAAUUCCAGGUGUAGCGGUGAAAUGCGUAGAGAUCUGGAGGA